Molecule: non-coding RNA, 73 nt
Organism: Chlorobium sp.
Lineage: Bacteria; Pseudomonadati; Chlorobiota; Chlorobiia; Chlorobiales; Chlorobiaceae
Source: Rfam
GAGCAUAUAGCUCAGUCGGUAGAGCAUCUCACUUUUAAUGAGAGGGUCGAUGGUUCGAGUCCAUCUAUGCUCA